GAAACUGGACAGCCUGGUCUUCCUGGGUCCGUUGGAACUCCUGGACUACAAGGACCCCCAGGACCAGUUGGCCCCAGAGGAGAGCCAGGAGAAGCUGGUUUACCAGGAAACCAUGGAACCCCUGGAAACCCAGGGAUUAAAGGAGAAAAGGGAGAAACUGGUGGAAUUAUAGGUCCUCCGGGACCUCCGGGUUCUAAAGGUGACACUGGGCCUCCAGGA
Molecule: long non-coding RNA, 219 nt
Organism: Euleptes europaea (tarantolino)
Lineage: Eukaryota; Metazoa; Chordata; Lepidosauria; Squamata; Sphaerodactylidae
Exons: 4
Source: RefSeq, a predicted model, not a curated record